UACGUAGGUGACAAGCGUUGUCCGGAAUUACUGGGCGUAAAGAGCUCGUAGGUGGUUUGUCGCGUUGUUCGUGAAAACUCACAGCUCAACUGUGGGCGUGCGGGCGAUACGGGCAGACUAGAGUACUGCAGGGGAGACUGGAAUUCCUGGUGUAGCGGUGAAAUGCGCAGAUAUCAGGAGGAACACCGGUGGCGAAGGCGGGGUCUCUGGGGCCGUAACUGACGCUGAGGAGCGAAAGCAUGGGGAGCGAACAGG
This 255-nucleotide ribosomal RNA is filed under the name uncultured bacterium. RNAcentral describes it as "partial 16S ribosomal RNA". It matches the Rfam family "Bacterial small subunit ribosomal RNA", at positions 524 to 776 of the family's 1533-position model. The record is from RNAcentral.